RNAcentral lists this ribosomal RNA (800 nucleotides) under uncultured bacterium. RNAcentral's name for it is "bacterial SSU rRNA". It matches the Rfam family "Bacterial small subunit ribosomal RNA", at positions 8 to 796 of the family's 1533-position model. The record is from RNAcentral.
AGAGUUUGAUCCUGGCUCAGGACGAACGCUGACGGUGUGCUUUAGACAUGCAAGUCGAACGAGAAAGCCCUUCGGGGUGAGUACAGUGGCGAACGGGUGAGUAACACGUGGGUAACCUGCCCCUCGCAGGGGGACAACCGGGGGAAACCCCGGCUAAUACCCCGUACGCUCCGAGGUCCGCAUGGUCCUCGGAGGAAAGGUAGCUUCGGCCAUCCGGCGAGGGAUGGGCCCGCGGUCCAUUAGCUAGUUGGUGGGGUAAUGGCUCACCAAGGCGACGAUGGAUAGCUGGUCUGAGAGGAUGAUCAGCCACACUGGGACUGAGACACGGCCCAGACUCCUACGGGAGGCAGCAGUCGGGAAUCUUGCGCAAUGGGCGAAAGCCUGACGCAGCAACACCGUGUGGGCGACGAAGGCCUUCGGGUCGUAAAGCCCUGUUGUUGGGGACGAAGGGCGAAGGGUUAAUAGCCCCUAGCUUGACGGUACCCUUCGAGGAAGCCCCGGCUAACUACGUGCCAGCAGCCGCGGUAAUACGUAGGGGGCGAGCGUUGUCCGGAAUUAUUGGGCGUAAAGAGCGUGUAGGCGGUUUGGUAAGUCUGCCGUGAAAACCCGGGGCUCAACCCCGGGCGUGCGGUGGAUACUGCCAGGCUAGAGGAUGGUAGAGGCGAGUGGAAUUCCCGGUGUAGCGGUGAAAUGCGCAGAUAUCGGGAGGAACACCAGUAGCGAAGGCGGCUCGCUGGGCCAUUCCUGACGCUGAGACGCGAAAGCUAGGGGAGCGACAGGAUUAGAUACCCNNGUAGUCC